AUAUUGCACAAUGGGCGCAAGCCUGAUGCAGCAACGCCGCGUGAGGGAUGGCGGCCUUCGGGUUGUAAACCUCUUUUAGCAAGGAAGAAGCGAAAGUGACGGUACCUGCAGAAAAAGCACCGGCAAACUACGAGCCAGCAGCCGCGGUAAUACGUAGGGUGCAAGCGUUGUCCGGAAUUAUUGGGCGUAAAGAGCUCGUAGGCGGCUUGUCGAGUCUGCUGUGAAAUCCCGGGGCUCAACUCCGGGACUGCAGUGGGUACGGGCAGGCUAGAGUGCGGUAGGGGGGAUUGGAAUUCCUGGUGUAGCGGUGGAAUGCGCAGAUAUCAGGAGGAACACCGAUGGCGAAGGCAGAUCUCUGGGCCGCUACUGACGCUGAGGAGCGAAAGCAUGGGGAGCGAACAG
RNAcentral lists this ribosomal RNA (402 nucleotides) under uncultured bacterium. Its description in RNAcentral is "partial 16S ribosomal RNA". It matches the Rfam family "Bacterial small subunit ribosomal RNA", at positions 361 to 775 of the family's 1533-position model. The record is from RNAcentral.